AGUACGGCGAGUGAAGCGGCAAAAGCUCAAAUUUGAAAUCUGGUACCUUCGGUGCCCGAGUUGUAAUUUGGAGAGGGCAACUUUGGGGCCGUUCCUUGUCUAUGUUCCUUGGAACAGGACGUCAUAGAGGGUGAGAAUCCCGUGUGGCGAGGAGUGCGGUUCUUUGUAAAGUGCCUUCGAAGAGUCGAGUUGUUUGGGAAUGCAGCUCUAAGUGGGUGGUAAAUUCCAUCUAAAGCUAAAUAUUGGCGAGAGACCGAUAGCGAACAAGUACAGUGAUGGAAAGAUGAAAAGAACUUUGAAAAGAGAGUGAAAAAGUACGUGAAAUUGUUGAAAGGGAAGGGCAUUUGAUCAGACAUGGUGUUUUGUGCCCUCUGCUCCUUGUGGGUAGGGGAAUCUCGCAUUUCACUGGGCCAGCAUCAGUUUUGGUGGCAGGAUAAAUCCAUAGGAAUGUAGCUUGCCUCGGUAAGUAUUAUAGCCUGUGGGAAUACUGCCAGCUGGGACUGAGGACUGCGAGUAAGUCAAGGAUGCUGGCAUAAUGGUUAUAUGCCGCCCGUCUUGAAC
Molecule: ribosomal RNA, 561 nt
Filed under: Saccharomyces cerevisiae (brewer's yeast)
Lineage: Eukaryota; Fungi; Ascomycota; Saccharomycetes; Saccharomycetales; Saccharomycetaceae
Description: partial large subunit ribosomal RNA
Rfam family: Eukaryotic large subunit ribosomal RNA
Source: RNAcentral